UUUAGACAUACAAAAACUUGUUGAAUCUCAUACUAUGGAUAUUAUUGAUGGUGCCCAUUUGAUUUCUGAAGAAGGUCUGGACCUAUGGAUUCAGCAUUUUGCACCAGCUACAUAGGGAGAAGUUAACACUUUCAAAAUUGACAUUCCAGCUCCUAGCUGUAAGGAGAUAAUGUUGGGCCUGGACAAAGAAAAUGAGGGCAUUAGCCCUGCUGCUCACUCCUCUAGUGGAGCUGGAAGUCCAUUAAAACAAGUGUCUCUUAAUAAGGUGAUAAAUCUGCCUCCAGGAGAAGCUGUCUCAAAGAAAAGAAGGGACAAAGAGCGUCUGGUGGAAACUGAGGUAUCUGAGGAAGAACUAUAGGAGAAGCUUUCAAAAAGGCCCAAGAAGAAAUGUCAGGAGGAUGUGGCCAAGGUUUCCAAGGCCACUGGAGCUACAAACCCCUCCAAGAUUGUGCAAUGAUGUGGUCACAACUUAGUAGCAAUCACAGGGUAGUAAUAAUGAUUAUGUCUAGUUUGGUUGGUGGAUGCAAGAUGUGUGAUGUGGUUACUGAUUUCAGAACAUGUAACAUGUCUGAUUAUGAGACAGGGUGGCUUCUUUUGUAUCAUGGUCUUUUGUUCACUAAGUUUCAAUCCGGGAACUGUUGCUUGUAUGAGGAUGCCGGAACUGCUCUGAUUUCUUUUGGAAAUGCUAUGUCACAUCUUCUCA
Molecule: long non-coding RNA, 703 nt
Organism: Aegilops tauschii subsp. strangulata
Lineage: Eukaryota; Viridiplantae; Streptophyta; Magnoliopsida; Poales; Poaceae
Source: RefSeq, a predicted model, not a curated record